Non-coding RNA from Pelobates cultripes (western spadefoot toad), 883 nucleotides. Lineage: Eukaryota; Metazoa; Chordata; Amphibia; Anura; Pelobatidae. The record is from the annotation of a GenBank genome assembly.
UGUCACUAUACCCCACUCCCUCUAACAUGUAAACUCACUGAGCAGGCUCUCAAUCCCCCUGUUACUGUGUCACUAUACCCCACUUCCUCUAACAUGUAAGUUCACUGAGCAGGGCCCUCGCUCCCUCUGUUUAAGUGUCACUAUACCCCACUCCCUCUAACAUGUAAACUCACUGAGCAGGGCCCUCAAUCCCUCUGUUACUGUGUCACUAUACCCCACUUACUCUAACAUGUAAGUUCACUGAGCAGGGCCCUCACUCCCUCUGUUAAAGUGUCACUAUACCCCACUCCCUCUAGCAUGUAAGCUCACCGAGCAGGCCCUCAAUCCCUCUUUUACUGUGUCACUAUACCCCACUCCAUCUAGCAUGUAAGCUCACUGAGCAGGACCCUCAAUCCCUCUGUUACUGUGUCACUAUACCCCACUCCCACUAACAUGUAAGCUCACUGAGCAGUGCCCUCAAUCCCUCUGUUACUGUGUCACUAUACCCCACUCCCUCUAACAUGUAAGCUCACUGAGCAGUGCCCUCAAUCCCUCUGUUACUGUGUCACUAUACCCCACUCCCUCUAGCAUGUGAACUCACUGAGCAGGACCUCAAUCCCUCUGUUACUGUGUCACUAUACCCCACUCCCUCUAGCAUGUGAACUCACUGAGCAGGGCCCUCAAUCCCUCUGUUACUGUGUCACUUUACCCCACUUCCUCUAACAUGUAAGCUCACUGAGCAGGGCCCUCAACCCCUCUGUUCCUGUCACUAUACCCCACUCCCUCUAACAUGUAAGCUCACUGAGCAGGGCCCUCAAUCCCUCUGUUACUGUGUCACUAUACCCCACUCCCUCUAACAUGUAAACUCACUGAGCAGGGCCCUCAAUCCCCCUGUUACUGUCAC